This 1091-nucleotide ribosomal RNA is filed under the name Anthostomella torosa. RNAcentral's name for it is "eukaryotic LSU rRNA". It matches the Rfam family "Eukaryotic large subunit ribosomal RNA", at positions 323 to 1437 of the family's 3401-position model. Lineage: Eukaryota; Fungi; Ascomycota; Sordariomycetes; Xylariales; Xylariaceae. The record is from RNAcentral.
UCGGCCAGAGACCGANNGCGCACAAGUAGAGUGAUCGAAAGAUGAAAAAGNNCUUUGNAAAGAGGGUUAAAUAGCACGUGAAAUUGUUGAAAGGGAAGNACUUAUGACCAGACUUUUUCCUNNNGGAUCAUCCGGUGNUNUCACCGGUGCACUUCUCCAGGUUUAGGCCAGCGUCGAUNUCCGUAGGGGGAUAAAAGUUUUCGGGAAUGUGACUCCCUCCGGGGAGUGUUAUAGCCCGUUUCAUAAUACCCUUAUGGGGAUCGAGGUUCGCNNUCUGCAAGGACGCUGGCAUAAUGGUCAUCAGUGACCCGUCUUGAAACACGGACCAAGGAGUCGAACAUUUAUGCGAGUGUUUGGGUGUNNAANCCUCACGCGUAAUGAAAGUGAACGGAGGUGAGAGCCUUAGGGUGCAUCAUCGACCGAUCCUGAUGUCUUCGGAUGGAUUUGAGUAAGAGCAUAACUGUUCGGACCCGAAAGAUGGUGAACUAUGCGUGGAUAGGGUGAAGCCAGAGGAAACUCUGGUGGAGGCUCGCAGCGGUUCUGACGUGCAAAUCGAUCGUCAAAUCUGCGCAUGGGGGCGAAAGACUAAUCGAACCAUCUAGUAGCUGGUUACCGCCGAAGUUUCCCUCAGGAUAGCAGUGUUGUUUUCAGUUUUAUGAGGUAAAGCGAAUGAUUAGGGACUCGGGGGCGCCAUAUAGCCUUCAUCCAUUCUCAAACUUUAAAUAUGUAAGAAGCCCUUGUUACUUAACUGAACGUGGGCAUUCGAAUGUAUCAACACUAGUGGGCCAUUUUUGGUAAGCAGAACUGGCGAUGCGGGAUGAACCGAACGCGAGGUUAAGGUGCCAGAGUAGACGCUCAUCAGACACCACAAAAGGUGUUAGUACAUUUUGACAUUUGGACGGUGGCCAUGGAAGUCGGAAUCCGCUAAGGACUGUGUAACAACUCACCAAACGAAUGUACUAGCCCUGAAAAUGGAUGGCGCUCAAGCGUCUCACCCAUACCUCGCCCUCAGGGUAGAAACGAUGCCCUGAGGAGUAGGCGGCCGUGGGGGUCAGUGACGAAGCCUAGGGCGUGAGCCCGGGUUGACGGCC